This 301-nucleotide ribosomal RNA is filed under the name uncultured bacterium. Its description in RNAcentral is "partial 16S ribosomal RNA". It matches the Rfam family "Bacterial small subunit ribosomal RNA", at positions 509 to 807 of the family's 1533-position model. The record is from RNAcentral.
CAGUCGCCGCGGUAAUACGUAGGGUCCGAGCGUUGUCCGGAAUUAUUGGGCGUAAAGAGCUCGUAGGCGGUCUGUCGCGUCUGCCGUGAAAUCCUCAGGCUCAACCUGAGGCGUGCGGUGGGUACGGGCAGGCUAGAGUGCGGUAGGGGAGAAUGGAACUCCUGGUGUAGCGGUGGAAUGCGCAGAUAUCAGGAAGAACACCGAUGGCGAAGGCAGUUCUCUGGGCCGUAACUGACGCUGAGGAGCGAAAGCGUGGGGAGCGAACAGGAUUAGAUACCCGCGUAGUCCCUGUCUCUUAUAC